CUUCUUUCUAUUCUCUUUCUUCUUCAUUCUUCUUCAUCUUUCUUCUUCCCCUGUUUCUUUUCUUGUUCUUUUUCCGCUGGUGAUUCUGUGAGAAGUUUGAGAGUCUGAGAUCGAAAAGGGUAUGCGAAUAUCAAACAAUAUCUAGUGGUGUUGGUGUUGAAUCGUCGAUGUGAUUCAGACUCAUUAGAAAAGGGAAACUCAGAGUAUACAAUUUAGGGUUUCUGUAAUUGAAUUGGAGAAUUCGAUUAAGGGUGAAUACAGAGGAGUUAGAAGAUGGGUUUGUUCUUAUUUGGUAUUUGCUGGAAGCUAUGAUGUUGUUUGAUAUGGAAUCAGUGAGUUAGGGUUUCAUGGAAUUAAAUUCAGUAGAGAUGAAAUUGAUGUUUAAGAGGCAUGAUUGAAGACUGAGUUUAGUCGAUUGAGGAACAGGGUGAAGUUAAUUAGAUGUUGGAGAUGUUCUGAGGAAGAAUUGAAGUAUUAAGGUUCAUGUGUUCUUCCCAAAUUUAAGAAUUAGGGUUCCUCUGUAAAUCAAAGAUGGUGAUGAAGAUUGUUGGGCGUUUUUAGUUUUGAGAGGAUUGUUCAGUUGAGGCAAGGAAGGAAGAAUUCGACCUCAGUUCCCGAGGAGCACUGGUUGAGGUAAUUUCUCUUACUAGUGAAAUCAGUUCAAUUCCAAUAUUGGAUUUAUAAGUUUUUCCUUGAACUGUGAAUGAAGUUUGUUGUGGUAUAAAUCUGUUUUUGAAGAUAUGAUUGAGGUUUAGGUUGUGUUGGUUAUUAAGAAGAUCAUGUAUGUUAGAUGAUACAAGGAUUGAGCUUUAAGAACUGAUCUUGAUGAUGGUAUGGUGUUUGUAAGGUAGUUAAACUGAGAUGUAUGUAUAUUUGAAGAAGCAGUUGAUUGAGAAGAUUAUAAUGUUUGAUGCAGGGAGAAAUGGGAAUCGUUGUGAUGCAGGUGUUGGUGUUUAAAUUGGAGAUUGUUGUAAGAUGAAUUGGUGGUGGUGGUUAUAUGCUCUAUGUAACUGGUAUUCAAGAAGUAAAAUAAAUAUGGAGUUUUAGAUGGAUGUAGUGGUGGAUGUGUAUGGUAGCGGUUGUAUGUGCUGGGAAGAACUGGGGGGUUGUUUUAUUGCAGUUGGUGAUGGUGACUAUAGAUGAAUGCUUAUGGCUUUGCAGAAUUUGGUUAGCUCAGAUGGUUGCAAUAAAUGAGCCUGGUGGUACUGUAGCUAAAGAAUUGGAAUUGCAGGUGGCGUGCAGUGGCAGAUGGGAUGGAGGUGGAGUUAAGAUUUUGGUAGAGUUGUGCUUGUAUAGGCUGAGUUGAGUUGUAUCUGUUUAGAUUGAUUUGAAGUUGGGAAUGAAGAUUAGAUGAAGGUGUUGAAUGAGUCUUUAAGGGAAAGCUUGAAACUGCUAUUGAAGUUAGUCUUAAUUAAAAACGAUCGAUUAAAAUGACGAAGCAGUGGAUCGUGGAUCUCGAGGUAGGCGUGGCUUGUCAUCAAAAGAGUUUCAGAGACCGAUCAAGAUGUGCAUGUGACGAUG
Long non-coding RNA from Papaver somniferum (opium poppy), 1521 nucleotides. RefSeq lists it as uncharacterized. The transcript is spliced from 3 exons. The record is from RefSeq and is a predicted model, not a curated record. NCBI's taxonomy places the organism in Eukaryota, Viridiplantae, Streptophyta, Magnoliopsida, Ranunculales, Papaveraceae.